Molecule: long non-coding RNA, 911 nt
Filed under: Linum usitatissimum (flax)
Lineage: Eukaryota; Viridiplantae; Streptophyta; Magnoliopsida; Malpighiales; Linaceae
Description: long non-coding RNA (LUSI_LNC006967)
Source: RNAcentral
AUGAACUUAUCAAUUCUAUUGAUGAAAUUGUGUUCAUCGCCGGGUUUCUACUUGUUGCAGAGUGUUGUACUAGUUGUGCAGUAGGUGUAAAAUCAUACUAAGGAGAUUGGACAAUAAACAUGUAUGAAAUUAAUGACAAAGUGAUGCGAAUCUGCUGUUUUGAUGCUGGGAUAUGCAUUACUUUGUGUUGGAUUCCUGUCUCGAAAUGGAAACACAAGAUGAGGAUGAGGUACGCUUGCGAUGCAAAACCGGCAUUCUCAGUUCGGCCAGUUUAUGCGUCGGAUGAUAAAGCAUUGCAGUAGCUACUGAAGGAUAAAUCUCUGUUCACUAUAACUUUGCAGCAGAAGUAGGAGUUGAUAUUUCAAGGGGUACUUGAUUUAGAUGCCUUGGUUCAUGGGUUCCUUACAUACUCAGUCAUGUUGCUUUUCUUUUGGCAAAAAUUUACAGGCAGACUUUGUAAACAUCUGGGUUGGCCGCACAGGUCGAUCGAGCUGGUCAAUAUGCGUAUCUACAUUGUUAAAGCUAAUAUAUUACCACAAAUUGAAGCUGCCUGAACUACAUCCAUGGAGGCUGUGUGAUAAUCUAUCAAACUACAUCGCACAUGAUGGUCAGCUCUGCUGCAGGGAGUACCACAUUCAACUCAUCAAGGAAAAGGCCACAAAUUUUGAGUACCAUUAUUGCAGCAGAAGUAGAUGCUGAAUCAUAAAUCUCUAUCCAUGACUAUAGCUUUGAGCCUGCGAACCAUUAACAAAUGUAAAAAACGUUGCAGACUUUAGUUUGAAUCAUUGAUUUUGAUAUAUAUGUAAGCUAAGCUAGCUCUCCAACUCCAUAAGACUUCCUUUUCUAAUUCAUUGGUGGAUAAUGUUGUUAUGGAAUAAAGAUAAAUGUGUUGAUUUAUCGCUAUUCGUCCG